CGUGUCCUCCUUCGGACGAGUGCUUGCCGGGGAGUAACCGUCAUGCACUACUCCGGGGGUAGGACGCG
This 68-nucleotide microRNA precursor is filed under the name Marek's disease virus serotype 2 MDV2. RNAcentral's name for it is "microRNA mdv2-mir-M25 precursor". Its record names the gene mdv2-mir-M25. Lineage: Duplodnaviria; Heunggongvirae; Peploviricota; Herviviricetes; Herpesvirales; Orthoherpesviridae. The record is from miRBase by way of RNAcentral.